Long non-coding RNA from Armigeres subalbatus, 431 nucleotides. RefSeq lists it as uncharacterized. The transcript has 3 exons. The record is from RefSeq and is a predicted model, not a curated record. NCBI's taxonomy places the organism in Eukaryota, Metazoa, Arthropoda, Insecta, Diptera, Culicidae.
AUUUCUGCCAACGGCAGUUUUUGUCGGGUCCAUUUGAACGGCCAUUAGAUAGUUUUUUCAAAUUUACAAGUGAAAAUCAUGCAAAUACUUAUUUAAAGGGACUGAAAUGCAUAAACAUCCGUUUCCCACUUCAAGUGAAAAUCUCAAAACAGUGUUCCGCCACUGCGCUAGAAGACUCGGUGGAACCGCAAGAAUAUGAAUGCAAGGAUUCCGGAGCUCUGAUGGAUACACCAAGUCUCGAGAACAAUGAGUCUGGCACGAUCAAUAACCUUUCAACCAGCUUCCAACUUCAUUGGGCCGAUGUCAGUUGCCCUUUAUGUUAUCUCUGGAAAUGCAGCGCGACCAUUUGCAAUAAAAGAACAUUUACAUUCUUUAUUUAUAAGACUUGCAGCCCGUGGCUGGCUCGUCCCGAAUAUAACAUAACAUUUGAU